This 246-nucleotide unclassified non-coding RNA is filed under the name Hevea brasiliensis (rubber tree). The record is from RNAcentral. Lineage: Eukaryota; Viridiplantae; Streptophyta; Magnoliopsida; Malpighiales; Euphorbiaceae.
AUUUGAUCUAUCUAUUAACUCCUUACUCUGUGUAAUUGCCCUCUCUAUAUCUACAGUUUGUCCCUUGAACAGGUUCCAGUUCUGGGCCCUCCAAGUAUAAAUGACCAUUGCCCCCCACACAGCAGCUACUAUCUUCUUCUGGAUUAACUUCUAAUGCUUCCUUCUAUUUCCUCCCUUACAUUUUUAAACCAGUCACACUCAAAUAACAGAUGCUGAGAUGUCUCCAUAUCAGCAGAUCCACAAAGA